AUGCGCCGCUCCCCGCAGUCCGGCUCCGUGCAGUGGUUCAUCGGCGACGAGGGCAACAGGCCGCACCACGCCCGCGACAGCAAGGGCAGGGGCAGCGCCGCCGCCGCGCACGGCCGCGUGGUGCGAGAGGGCGUCGAGUUCUACAUCAAUGGGGACUGCUACGAGGGGGAGUUCCACGACCACAAGGGCCGCUGCAACGGCAGCGGCGUCUACAACUUCUUCGGCAAGGGCAAGUACGAGGGGGACUGGGUGGACGGCAAGUACGAUGGCUACGGCAUCGAGAGCUGGGCGCGCGACAGCCGCUACCGCGGCCAGUAUCGCCAGUGCCUCCGCCAUGGCCACGGCGUCUACCGCUUCUAUAGCGGCGACUGCUACGCCGGCGAGUGGGCCGGCGGCCAGAGCCACGGCAUCGGCGCGCAGACGAUUUCACAGACUACCCAAAACGGAAGGCGAAUUUCAUUUCAUUUCUUUUCUUUACGUCUUUUAGGUCUAGGCUUUCAUCUUCAUCCUUUUGCAAGCUUUAUCGAAAGUGCUAUUGUGAGCUCGAGCUCACAGGCACCCUUUGCUACAGUACAAACAAAAAAAUAUUUAAAAAGUUCAAAAAAUUCUGAAUUUUUUUGGCAACAAACAUUGACAUAUUUUUCACGUGCGUACAAAUUUUCAUGA
RNAcentral lists this ribosomal RNA (666 nucleotides) under Triticum aestivum (bread wheat). RNAcentral's name for it is "partial small subunit ribosomal RNA". The record is from RNAcentral. Lineage: Eukaryota; Viridiplantae; Streptophyta; Magnoliopsida; Poales; Poaceae.